UGGGAUUAUAGGCAUGAGCCACCACACCCAGCCUGAAUUCUUCAUGGAUCUGAUGCCUACAUGCUAUCUGCCUGGGUGCCACUGGAGCUCUGAAUUUUACAUACCAGGAGAAGAUUAGGACACCUAGAGAGACACUAGGGGUUCCUUUGCACAGAAGAAAGGCCACAUGAAGAUGGGGACACAGCAAGAAGGCAGCGGCAGCAAGCAAAGGAGAGAGGCCUCUGAGGAAACCAACCCUGCCAAACACCUGCUGCUUGGACUUCUAGCGUCCAGAACUGUGGACUCUUAUCAAUACCGAACAUUGAAAUCUGGAGGCUCGGCCAUCAGAACUCUUACACAGCACAGAAGACGAGUUUCACGGGUCACUCAGCAUCUACUGGAAGGAUGGAAAAAAUCAAGAAUUUGGCACCCUAAACACAACAUGAGAAGGUUUCACUCAGUAAUGGCCUCCUGAAAACAACUUAAUCUUCUUGGACAAGACUCUGAACUGAAAUCAAGGUUUCAAAAUAUUUUGUUGUGAGUGAUGAAGCUGUCUGGACCUAACUUUUCCGAGAGGCCAAGAAACCAUUCUGUAAUCCUGCAAAAUGGUUUCUGAAGAGUCUGGUGAAAUGCAACUGUUAUCCCUCACUUUGCAUUUUGCUCCAACGAUUCUGAGGUGCAACUUAUGGAUGAGACUGAUUUCUUUCCAUAUUGCUGUAGUAAAUUGGUUUUUGUUGUUUUCAUGGGCUUUGUAAAUCUUGCUGAUAAAAUCCAUAAGUGAUUUGCUAACAUAAAAGCUAACUGGAGAAACAUAAAAAAUAAUUCAAAAAUCAUUUCAUCUUAUCAACUGGAUUAAAAUUAAAAUUAUUAGAAAUACUAAUGAUAGUAUUUCUUUCCAGAGUGGUAAUGGAGUUUUUUUCCUUUUUAUUAAUAGCCCUUAAUGUAUCUUAUGGGAACAAUUAAUAGACAUUCUUCAAACUCCUUCAGAAAGCCCAAUGACAAGUGGCAUUUUUACCAGCGAGAUUCUCAGCGAAUAUAUAAUUCUUUGUCAAUAUUCAAAUUAAGGCAGAAACUCUAGAGUCUGAUCUGUAUCUAUUUCAUCUUUUAAAUGUGUUGAAAGGCCUCUGAGUGCAUCUUAAGCAGUUGGUAAAUAUUUUUCAGGUCAUCACAUACAGGAACUGGACCCCAGUUUUUCCUAAAAAAAUAUGUAUGUACAGAUGACAGAAAAAAAAUUGCCUUCAGAAAAUGGAACCCAUGUGCCAAGGCCUGGUCAGUAAAAAAAUCCCUAAUUUUUGCUUGUUUUAUAAUUUGUCUUAGGUUUUCUCUGACACUAGUGGAUUUCUUUUUUAAGGCAGUCAUAGUUCUAAUACUGUUCAGGCCUUGAAAAAUCCAAUCUAGGCUGGAUUAUGGUGGCUCACACUUGUAGUCCCAGCACUUUUGGAGCUCUGGGUA
This 1431-nucleotide long non-coding RNA is filed under the name Homo sapiens (human). Its description in RNAcentral is "HSALNT0351324". The record is from RNAcentral. Lineage: Eukaryota; Metazoa; Chordata; Mammalia; Primates; Hominidae.